GCUGCUGCUCUUGUUAGCUGCUCUCCUCUUUUCCUCACAAAUGGUGGAUGGAACACCCAACUCUGUGCCUUUGGACAAGGAGGAAUUGCUGGCGGAGAAGAAGCUGAAACUUCUUAACAGGCCUGCGGUGAAGAGCAUUCAGAGCGAAGAUGGUGACAUAGUGGACUGUGUUGAUCUCUACAAACAGCCAGCCUUCGAUCACCCACUACUCAAAAACCAUACCAUUCAGGUCCAAUAUUUUACUCACCAGCAUGCUAAGCAUACACAAAUAUAAGUCUUUAGACAAUUCCAUGAUCUUCUCCUUUCUAGGAAUGUUUCAGUGACACUGUUACAUAGAAUCGAUACAAGAUUUCCUUCGAUUGGAACUUCUCAGUAUGUUCUUCGACGGGCAUAGAAUGCUGAUAGUAGUUAAUUGUCGCCUUCUUAGUCCUACCAAAAAGAUAAUAUGCAUCGAUUGUUAAUGCUGCAGAUGAAACCCGAUGAUGAGAUCUCCGGCGAAAGAGAUGAGGGAGUUAAAGCACGCGUGCCGUCCCAAGCAUGGCAAAGGAGUGGGAGCUGCCCUGAUGGAACGAUCCCAAUCCUCAGGAUCCAAAAGCAUCACCUGCUCAACGCUGCUUCGAUGGAAGACUACGGCAGGAAGCCAUGGCAUGGCAUGACCAAGCACAAGAUACGUACAUCGAGUCUCUCGGUAGAUGCCGGCAUCGAAGGCCUGCACGCGUAUGGCGUGCUGAUGGCCAGUGGUUUCAGCUACAUCGGAGCCAAAGCAAGCAUCAACAUAUGGAAUCCCCGUGUCGGCGGGGACGACGAAUUCACUACUGCUCAGAUUUGGCUUCGGAAUGGGCCGUACAACAGCUCAGACUCCAUCGAAGCCGGAUGGAUCGUAGAUCCCAGCCUUUAUGGUGACAGGAGGACAAGGUUUUUCGUGUACUGGACGGUAAACCUCUUCGCUCGAUCGAUCUUUCUUUCUUUUACGUACUUCCCUCCCAUAGAUCUUCGCAGACGGACUCCGGGAGGACGAC
This is a long non-coding RNA of Musa acuminata AAA Group (dessert banana), 1019 nucleotides long. RefSeq lists it as uncharacterized. The record is from RefSeq and is a predicted model, not a curated record. The transcript is spliced from 4 exons. Lineage: Eukaryota; Viridiplantae; Streptophyta; Magnoliopsida; Zingiberales; Musaceae.